CAGUCGCCGCGGUAAUACGUAGGGUGCGAGCGUUAAUCGGAAUUACUGGGCGUAAAGCGUGCGCAGGCGGUUCGUUAAGACAGAUGUGAAAUCCCCGGGCUUAACCUGAGAACUGCAUUUGUGACUGGCGAGCUAGAGUAUGGCAGAGGGGGGUAGAAUUCCACGUGUAGCAGUGAAAUGCGUAGAGAUGUGGAGGAAUACCGAUGGCGAAGGCAGCCCCCUGGGCCAAUACUGACGCUCAUGCACGAAAGCGUGGGGAGCAAACAGGAUUAGAUACCCCCGUAGUCCCUGUCUCUUAUAC
Molecule: ribosomal RNA, 301 nt
Filed under: uncultured bacterium
Lineage: Bacteria
Description: partial 16S ribosomal RNA
Rfam family: Bacterial small subunit ribosomal RNA
Source: RNAcentral